This is a long non-coding RNA of Sphaeramia orbicularis (orbiculate cardinalfish), 187 nucleotides long. RefSeq lists it as uncharacterized. The record is from RefSeq and is a predicted model, not a curated record. Lineage: Eukaryota; Metazoa; Chordata; Actinopteri; Kurtiformes; Apogonidae. The transcript is spliced from 5 exons.
CUUUUCAAUGGGGAUGAAGAACCAGAUCUACAUUUCUACAAUUUUACAAUUUCAUUUCGCAGACACUUUUGUCCAAAGCGACGUACAACAUAAGCAAGAAUUUAGACUUGAGGAAAAACCCUUAGUAAGUGCAAAAAGUGCUUCAAGUUUGAUUGGCUGCAGGCGCUGCCAUCAAGUACUAGAAGAA